Molecule: ribosomal RNA, 433 nt
Filed under: uncultured Planctomycetota bacterium
Lineage: Bacteria; Pseudomonadati; Planctomycetota
Description: bacterial SSU rRNA
Rfam family: Bacterial small subunit ribosomal RNA
Source: RNAcentral
CGGUGGAGGAUGUGGCUUAAUUCGAGGCUACGCGAAGAACCUUACCUAGUCUUGACAUGUACGGAUUAACCCGGUGAAAGCGGCCCCGAACGGACAGGUGUGACGAGCGAAACCCUUGUCACUAGUUGCCAGCGGGAUGUCAAGUCUCAUGGCCUUUAUGACUAGGCUGCAUACAUGGCGCGCACAAGGGAUGCAAACUCGCGAGAGCAAGCAUCCCAAAAAACGCGCCCCAGUUCGGAUUGCAGUGCAACUCGCCUGCAUGAAGCCGGAAUCGCUAGUAAUCGGGGUCAGCAUACCGCGGUGAAUGUGUUCCCGAGCCUUGUACACACCGCCGUCAAGCCACGAAAGUGGGGGGUAUCCGAAGUCGCCGUGCUAACCGUAAGGAAGCAAGCGCCGAAGUAAACUCCGCGAUUGGGACUAAGUCGUACAAGGU